Molecule: non-coding RNA, 1482 nt
Organism: Arachis ipaensis
Lineage: Eukaryota; Viridiplantae; Streptophyta; Magnoliopsida; Fabales; Fabaceae
Source: RefSeq, a predicted model, not a curated record
CUUAGAAGUGAGAACCAAACCCUCGAAGCCUCUUCAUUACUCAACUAAGAACCCUAAACCUUCGCAGCCCUCUCAGCUCGCAGCCCUCUUCAUCAUUGAGAAGUGAGAAUCCCUUCAUCUUUCAGCUCGUAGCCCCCUCUUAACUUGCAACCCUCUAUCCUUCUCUUGCAAUCAUUUAUCCCACUUUUGUAACUCUUGGAAACUUCAAUCGGUGCUGCCUCCGUCGACGAACCCUCCAUCGGCGCGCCCUCCGUUGGCAUUCAGUCUCGCUCGCAAGGCCUCCAUCGGCGCUCGCUCUCUCUCGCUCAAACCUUACCUCCGUCGACGCUGACUCAAUCGUCGCUGCCUCUCCCGCAAUCGGCGUUCCUCCCUCAAUCGGCGCUCAACCCUCAUCGUAACACAAGAAGAACAAGGAAAUGUUGCCGGAGAACUUCAAAGAACAGCUUGCUUUGUCUGUGAGAAGCAUCCAGUGGAGCUAUGCAAUAUUCUGAUCUACUUCAUCUACCCCACCCGGGCUAUAAGGGUUGCUGCCAUGAACUGUAUUGAUGGGCUAAGCAUUGGGGCUCGUAUUGCAUGUUCUGGCAAGAAAAAUGGUACUUAACUGUCAGAACAAUUGGACUUAGCCAUUACUUCUUAAUUAAUAUUACCUUGAUAUUAAGAUUUUCUAAACAGGAAACAAAUGUCUUAAUUGAUGGUUACUAUACUUGUGAAAAUGUUCCUAUAACAAAUGCUUGUUAUGCAUGCUUUAGUUUGUUGAAGGGGUGCAUGGGUAUUAUUAAAACUCAUUCUUCAUCUUAUACAGUAAAAAGAGGUAAAUAAAACUGCAACUGUGAUAAUGGAGAUGCAAUGAUUUCUGAAAUUAUAAAAUCCUCUUUCUUGCAAGAAUUAAACCUUUUGUGUUUGGUCUAUAUGUCUACUUAAUUCAUUAUCAUGCUCCUAAUUUUAUAUUGCAACAGCUGGUUGGCUAAUACAUACAAAUACAUUGCCUUGUAUAAUCCAAUAUUUAAGUUAGUAAAACCAGAAGGCAAUUAACUCGUUGAUAUAUAUAAAAGUUUACAUGGUGAGAUGUGAAUCAUUUAAUGGAGCACCUCAUAUCGAUACUUUUACUUCUACUUCUACUUACUGCUAUUAUUAUUUUUAUUAGUGCACAAAGUGAUGGCAAAUCUGAUCAGGUCAAUUUUUACAUUAUAUAUUCAUGAGGUUGUUUCUUUUUCUGUCUCUCUCUGAGUUUCUUUGUUUUUUGCAUCACCCAUUUUAAUUCUCUUGUUAAUAAACCGAGGUGUGUCUAUGAGCUCUGAACUUGUUUCUUCAAUUGUCUAUUUUCAGGUUAAUUGAUUGUAAACAUUUUGAUUCCUCUGUUUCCUGAGAAUUUGAGCUGUUUCCUGAGAAUUUGAGCAUGGUUUUGAUUCCUCUGUUUGUUUAGCAAAUGUCCUUGAACUGAUCUGAACUUUAAUCUGCAUGGUUUGUUUAGCAAAUGAUUUU